GUGAGGUGGCGGCGGUAAUCUUUUCCGUGAGGUCCUCAGUUGCUUGUGCCCGGUAGCUCUGGUCUACUGGGUCGGGCUCCGCUCAGCUUGAGGUGCUCAACGGACUUAAGGUGCUCACUGAAGAUGCAGAAAGCCCACAUGGGAGGAAGGCGACAGUGCAGUGCGGAAAGAGACUGGCGAUGCGCUUCAGCUAAGCCCGUGCGUCACCAAGCUUGUCUGGGGGCUGGAAGAUCCCCAGGCCGAGCAGAGUAAUGUCCACUCUUGCCCUGGACAUUACGGUGCACCCGAAUAGCUCCAAGAUUUGAGGACGCUUUUGGAAGCAUCAACUAGGACUGAAGCUGAAUACUCAUCUCUCUGCACUUCUGGAUCACCAGUGUUGGGAAAGCUACCAUGAAGCAGCUGUUAAGUAAUUAACAACCCCCCCCCC
Molecule: long non-coding RNA, 427 nt
Organism: Peromyscus californicus insignis
Lineage: Eukaryota; Metazoa; Chordata; Mammalia; Rodentia; Cricetidae
Exons: 2
Source: RefSeq, a predicted model, not a curated record